Molecule: ribosomal RNA, 509 nt
Filed under: uncultured bacterium
Lineage: Bacteria
Description: bacterial SSU rRNA
Rfam family: Bacterial small subunit ribosomal RNA
Source: RNAcentral
AUUGAACGCUGGCGGCAGGCCUGACACAUGCAAGUCGAACGGUAGCACAGGGGAGCUUGCUCCUCGGGUGACGAGUGGCGGACGGGUGAGUAAUGUCUGGGGAUCUGCCCGAUGGAGGGGGAUAACUACUGGAAACGGUAGCUAAUACCGUAUAACGUCGCAAGACCAAAGUGGGGGACCUUCGGGCCUCACACCAUCGGAUGAACCCAGAUGGGAUUAGCUAGUAGGUGGGGUAACGGCUCACCUAGGCGACGAUCCCUAGCUGGUCUGAGAGGAUGACCAGCCACACUGGAACUGAGACACGGUCCAGACUCCUACGGGAGGCAGCAGUGGGGAAUAUUGCACAAUGGGCGCAAGCCUGAUGCAGCCAUGCCGCGUGUAUGAAGAAGGCCUUCGGGUUGUAAAGUACUUUCAGCGGGGAGGAAGGUGGUGAGGUUAAUAAGCUCAUCAAUUGACGUUACCCGCAGAAGAAGCACCGGCUAACUCCGUGCCAGCCGCCGCCGUAACAC